GGCUUGUUGAUUAUAAUUUCAAGUYUGACCUGCCCAAUGAGGAUUAUUAAAUGGCCGCAGUAUUUUGACUGUGCAAAGGUAGCAUAAUCAAUAGUUUUUUAAUUGGAAACUGGAAUGAAAGGUUUGAUGAAAAAAUUUCUGUCUCUAGGAAAAUUUAUUAGAACUUUAUUUUUAAGUAAAAAAGCUUAGAUGUGUAUAGAAGACGAGAAGACCCUAUAGAGUUUUAUAUUUAUGAAAAAAUGAUUUUUUUAGAGUUUUUAAGAUCCUAUUUUUAUAAGUAUUUUGUUGGGGUGAUAGAAAAAUUUGAGUAACUUUUUUUUUAUUUAGACAUUGAUGUGUGAGUAUUUGAUCCUAGAGUUGAGAUUAUAAGAUUAAAUUACCUUAGGGAUAACAGCGUAAUUUUUUUAAGAGUUCUUAUCAGAAAAAAAGAUUGCGACCUCGAUGUUGGAUUAAAAUUAAUUUUUGGUGAAGAAGCUAAAAAAUUAGGUCUGUUCGACCUUUAAAAUUUUACAUGAUCUGAGUUUAAACCGGCGUGAG
RNAcentral lists this ribosomal RNA (537 nucleotides) under Trigonopterus sp. 737 AR-2022a. Its description in RNAcentral is "partial large subunit ribosomal RNA". The record is from RNAcentral. Lineage: Eukaryota; Metazoa; Arthropoda; Insecta; Coleoptera; Curculionidae.